ACGCUCGACACCUACGGGAGGCAGCAGUGAGGGAUAUUGGUCAAUGGGGGGAAACCCUGAACCAGCAACGCCGCGUGAGGGAUGACGGCCUGGUUGUAAACCUCUGUCCUCUGUGAAGAUAAUGACGGUAGCAGAGGAGGAAGCUCCGGCUAACUACGUGUCAGCAGCCGCGGUAAUCUGAGGCGGGCUGGCAAGGC
RNAcentral lists this ribosomal RNA (197 nucleotides) under uncultured bacterium. Its description in RNAcentral is "partial 16S ribosomal RNA". It matches the Rfam family "Bacterial small subunit ribosomal RNA", at positions 328 to 539 of the family's 1533-position model. The record is from RNAcentral.